Molecule: unclassified non-coding RNA, 2646 nt
Filed under: Hevea brasiliensis (rubber tree)
Lineage: Eukaryota; Viridiplantae; Streptophyta; Magnoliopsida; Malpighiales; Euphorbiaceae
Source: RNAcentral
UGGAUAUCCAAACGUUGUCAUUCCUAACUAAAAGCAUUAUAACGUAUCAAUAAAUGGGUACCCAAUGAUAGUACACGACAUUGAUUUGGUGCAAUAUUAGGUAAGUCUUUAGAAUAAAAUAUGUUUAAGCUACGGAAAACACCUCAUCAGGGAUGCAAUUGCACUUCUUAUUUGCCUGUGACAUUAAACAUACGUAUGCUUGAUCUAUCAUAUGACUGCAUAUAUGGAAGCAACUCCAACGGCCUUAGAGUUUCAGUUAUGUCUGUGACUGCAAGGUCAGCCAGUUCUGCAAGUUGGAGAAAAUAACUGAAGGUUUCAAUAUUGCGAAUGACUGCGGCAAUAUAAGCCACAGGUGCUUUCUUUAGUCCAUCUUUUGAAGAACCAUUCUCUAGUCUCUCAACUAGAGGAACAUCAACUUCACAGCCAAUUUGAUCUGCCUUGCUUUUCAACCCAUCUAAAUCACAGGCUGUGUGAGCUUCACCAUCAUCAGUGCCAUUGACUUUGAUAUCGAUGCGGUUAGAAUGUAUUAAUAAGCCCUGGCAACUGUUCUUUAGCAGUUGAGACUCCGAGCAUGCCUUUUUUAUGUUCAAGAGAAUGGCUAGUAAUUGAACAAGGUAUGGGAGGCACGAUGGAUCAUAAAUUAUAUCUGCACCCAAACUUUAAAUUGAAAAACAAGGUAAAUGGCAAUGGAUUCAGUAGCAGUCCUAAACUCCGAAUCGAAGACAAUGAAUUAAACCCCCAGUCACAUAAGAAACUAAAAGACAUUGCAUCAAAUACUUAAUAUUAUGUUUGGCAUUAAAUUUGAAAAAUAACUAUUUUUUUUUUUAAAGUGUUGAAAAAUACCUUUUAGAAAAGCACAAUUUUAGACGUUGAAAAAAGCCAUUUAAAGUAGCUUAGCUGUUUUGUAGUUUAUAUAACUAAAUCAUAUCAAAUUUAAUAUAAAAGUAAGCUCAAAUAGUAAUGCCAAACAAAAUGGAAAAGUAAGCCGACAGAAAAGUACAGUACUCACACAAUGUCAGGCAUGAACUCCUGAAGCUCAUUCUUUGUUGCAGAUUCCCAAGGCAGAUGAAUGCAAUUCACCUGAGAUUUAUUGUCCAUUUCAGCUUUCGCCUGCUUUCUGUAUAACUGUUUACUACAGUCAUUGCUUGGUUCUGAUCUUUAUUUAUUAACUUUCCAUUCAAUUCAAAGAAAAUAACCCACAAAAUGAGUCAUUGCUUGGUUCAGCUUUCACUUCCAUAGUUAAGUUCCACAAAAUAAAACAAGCAAAGACGAUGAUAUGCUCAGCUAGUUGCUUAAAUAACAGCUACUAGAUGGGGAACCAACACAACUGUGAUCAUCGAAUCAAUUUAUCUCUUGCACAUACAACUCAUAAGAAUUCCUUGAGUUAUUCUAUUGUCUUAUUAUUAUAGCAUCCCAGUAUCUUAACUAGAAGAGAAAAAUUAAAUAAAAAUAGAGUUAAAAUGGACCCCAAUGAUCAAAACAACUUGCUGGCUAGGACUUCCAUAGCUUAUAAUACAAGGGGGAGAGAGAACUUUAACACUCACCAUAUUUAGAUCUUGGGAAGAUCUUUCUGGCAUGCCAGUAUCAGUCCUCAACUGGUUUAACUCCAAAUUAAGCUUCAUGUUAGCUAAAGUUGACAAAUCACCGUCACUUAAUAUAACCUUGGAAGCUUUUACAUGGUAAAGACAAAUUCCAACCAAACCAACACCAGAACCAACCUCAAAACAUGAUUUUCUGAAGAAUAUGUUGGGAAAAGAAAGGACAAACUCUGAUAAAUAUAGACUUGCGGGCCAAACAGCACACCCAGUGUCUCCUUCAAGCAUGUUGAGUGAACAAUGCAGUGGAACCAUCAACUUUCUCGGCAUUGGACAACUUGGAGACCCAGAACAGCCAUCAGGAAAAAGAAAAGAGAUGCACUUGCAGACCCUUGUAUUCCCUUUGCCUGAAAUAUCAUCCUAUCAAAACAGCAACCAAGUUGAUUGUAAUUCAAGUACUGAAGCAUGCGAACAAGAUCAACACAGUAACAGAUGCUUAUUCAAGCAGAACCUAAGCCUUACCUUCAAUGAAGUCAUGUAAUAACCAUACUGUUCAUAUAAUUCAUCCAACACGGUGCUAUGACUUGAUUCAAUCUCAAAAAUUAGCUUCUUUAGAAAAUUCUUCAAGUAUGGUGCAUUACCUUUUCCAAUCUGCAGUGUUCACACAACUGAACCAAGCUUUGUGAUCAUGAACACGCCUAUUAAUCACCAAAUUUUACUUUUCAAAUUUUUUAAAUGCCAACCUAAGUGCCCCCAAAAUUUUUUUUCCUACUUCUAAUAUCUUUCCUCUAAUGCAAAUCAGAUCACAGGUAACAAAUAAAGUUACGGUGCAUAAUGACUACUACUUACUGCUUCGCCUAUACAAUAGUCCCAAAUAAACCUCUGCACCCUCUCUGUAACCAAACCUCCUCCGCAUGCUCUUGCGAUUGAUAUUAAGGAAUCCGUCGGCUCCAUUGCUAGGAAUGCAGAGACCAGGUGAAGGCCGGGGGGGACUGUCGGAUCGAGCUUGGAGUUCGCCAUGGCCGCAGCAGAGUUUAGGAUUUUGGCCAUUUUGGGGGUUUUGACUGAAGUUGACAGACCUCAACUUUUGCACGGACGGAAUGAUUUGACU